CACAUGCAAGUCGAACGAUAGAAACUUAGCUUGCUAAGGGGAUUAGUGGCGAACGGGUGAGUAAUAUAUCGGAACGUGCCUUGUAAUGGGGGAUAACUAGUCGAAAGAUUAGCUAAUACCGCAUACGCCCUGAGGGGGAAAGUAGGGGAUCUUCGGACCUUACGUUAUAAGAGCGGCCGAUAUCUGAUUAGCUAGUUGGUGGGGUAAUGGCCUACCAAGGCGACGAUCAGUAGCUGGUCUGAGAGGACGACCAGCCACACUGGAACUGAGACACGGUCCAGACUCCUACGGGAGGCAGCAGUGGGGAAUUUUGGACAAUGGGCGAAAGCCUGAUCCAGCCAUUCCGCGUGAGUGAAGAAGGCCUUCGGGUUGUAAAGCUCUUUCGCAAGGGAAGAAAACUUACAUUCUAAUAAAGUGUGAGGCUGACGGUACCUUGAUAAGAAGCACCGGCUAACUACGUGCCAGCAGCCGCGGUA
This 476-nucleotide ribosomal RNA is filed under the name uncultured bacterium. RNAcentral's name for it is "bacterial SSU rRNA". It matches the Rfam family "Bacterial small subunit ribosomal RNA", at positions 52 to 522 of the family's 1533-position model. The record is from RNAcentral.